This 354-nucleotide ribosomal RNA is filed under the name uncultured Leptospiraceae bacterium. Its description in RNAcentral is "bacterial SSU rRNA". It matches the Rfam family "Bacterial small subunit ribosomal RNA", at positions 1028 to 1382 of the family's 1533-position model. Lineage: Bacteria; Pseudomonadati; Spirochaetota; Leptospiria; Leptospirales; Leptospiraceae. The record is from RNAcentral.
AUGUAUAGAGGUGCUGCAUGGUUGUCGUCAGCUCGUGUCGUGAGAUGUGGGUUAAGUCCCGCAACGAGCGCAACCCCUACUCUCUGUUGCUAUCAGGUAAUGCUGGGCACUCUGAGGGAACUGCCGGUGACAAACCGGAGGAAGGUGGGGACGACGUCAAAUCAUCACGGCCCUUAUGUCCAGGGCUACACACGUGCUACAAUGGCCGGUACAAAGAGUUGCGAGACCGCGAGGUGGAGCUAAUCUCAGAAAACCGGUCUCAGUUCGGAUUGGAGUCUGCAACUCGACUCCAUGAAGUUGGAAUCGCUAGUAAUCGCGGAUCAGCAUGUCGCGGUGAAUACGUUCCCGGGUCUU